This 253-nucleotide ribosomal RNA is filed under the name uncultured bacterium. RNAcentral describes it as "partial 16S ribosomal RNA". It matches the Rfam family "Bacterial small subunit ribosomal RNA", at positions 524 to 776 of the family's 1533-position model. The record is from RNAcentral.
UACGUAGGGGGCAAGCGUUAUCCGGAUUUACUGGGUGUAAAGGGAGCGUAGGCGGUGAUACAAGUCAGAAGUGAAAGCCCGCAGCUCAACUGCGGGACUGCUUUUGAAACUGUAUGACUAGAUUGCAGGAGAGGUAAGUGGAAUUCCUAGUGUAGCGGUGAAAUGCGUAGAUAUUAGGAGGAACACCAGUGGCGAAGGCGGCUUACUGGACUGUAAAUGACGCUGAGGCUCGAAAGCGUGGGGAGCAAACAGG